RNAcentral lists this ribosomal RNA (447 nucleotides) under uncultured marine eukaryote. RNAcentral describes it as "bacterial SSU rRNA". It matches the Rfam family "Eukaryotic small subunit ribosomal RNA", at positions 617 to 1070 of the family's 1831-position model. The record is from RNAcentral.
GGUUAAAACGCUCGUAGUUGGAUAUCUGCUGAAUGCCCCCGGUCCAUCCUAGUGGUGCGUACUCGGUCUGUGUUUAGCACUUUUCUGGGGACUGCGUUCGCACUUCACUGUGUGGCGCAUGAUCUAGUACUUUUACUUUGAGGAAAUGAGAGUGUUUCAAGCAGGCGUUAGUUUUGAAUACGUUAGCAUGGAAUAAUAGCAUGGGACCUCGUUCUGGAGUUGUUGGUUUUUGGAGCGAUGUAAUCAAAAUAGGGGUAGCUGGGGGCAUUCGUAUUUAACUGUCAGAGGUGAAAUUCUUGGAUUUUUUAAAGACGAACUACUGCGAAAGCAUCUGCCCAGGAUGUUUUUAUUAAUCAAGAACGAAAGUUAGGGGAUCGAAGACGAUCAGAUACCGUCCUAGUCUUAACCAUAAACUAUGCCGACUAGAGAUUGGGGCUGUCAGAUUUU